UUUUUCUCUUUUCAAGUUUUUUUUUAUAUGACAUGUUUCUUGUGGAACACGGCAAUUAUUUUUCUGUGUGAAUUCAUGGCGACAGAUACGUUCAUCAAGUUGAAUCCAAUCUUCAUUAAUCCCAACCGCUUCAACCUCCGAGAAUGUUCCAACCUAAGCCCUAAAAGCAUCUCUUCUCUGAGCUGCAUUAGCCCAAGACUGAUAUCUUGCAGCCAUGUCAACCCUAGAACAUUGAUCUACGGCGAGAAUGAUAACAUAUUGUUUCCCAAGAAAAAGAUUCCUUCCAUGAUCCGUUGUCAGGUUAGCUCAGAAUCAUUUUAAUCUUUCGUUGAUCGGGUUAAAUAGUUUUGUUUAAUUUAUUCAGACGAGUCUUGGGAUUGGAAGGAACCAAAAAUGGUGGGAGAAGGAACUGAAACCUAACAUGAAGUCGGUAACAUCACCUCAAGAUCUUGUCGACUCUCUACUUAAUGCUGGAGAUAAACUUGUUGUCGUUGAUUUCUUCUCUCCCGGUUGUGGUGGAUGCAAAGCUCUUUAUCCCAAGGUAAUCCGGUCUCAAUCAUCUGAAAUUAAAAAACAAAAAACAAAACCGGAUACAACAGAUUCUAUUAGUAGACAAUUCAAAAUAGUAAACCGACUCCAAGUGUUAUUAUUAGGAUUUAAUCAAAACCAUCUAUGGGGCUGGAUAAAUAACCAGAAUCCACAAAAUAAAAUCAAACUCGACCGAUAAAAGUGAAUCCAAACCGAUUCAAGCCCGGCAUGGAAAACGGAAUGAAUUUUUUUCUAUAUGGCAUUUCGAGUUAUGGAUUUUACCAGAACCGAACCUGAACCAAGUGUAUAUCAAAAAAACCUGAAAAAAAUUAAAAUUCUAAAAAUAAUUUGUACCAAACUCGAUUUCAAUCUCUAUUAUGUAUAAAAUAUAAUAGGAUAUUAUUGAGUACCUAAAAUAAUUAUUUAUAAAUACUUAAUUUAAUAUAUACUUUUGGUAUUUGGUUAAUGUUGAUGUUUUUAUGUUUUGAUAAUUAUAUUUGAUUAAGUUUAAGAAAAGUUCAUGUUUUGUUUAUAUUUUCAUCAAAAGUGUGAUUUUGGAUUAUAUGUUUCAGUUAUGUAAAAUAGCAGAGAAGAAUCCAGAGGUGGAGUUUCUACAAGUGAAUUACGAAGAACAAAGAAGUCUAUGUCAAAGUCUUCACGUUCAUGUUCUUCCCUUCUUUCGCUUCUACCGUGGCUCCUCAGGCCGCGUCUGCAGUUUCAGUUGUACUAAUGCCACGGUAAUAUUCUAUUUUUAUUCAUUUUUUUCUUCUUUAUAUAAAGAGAAAUUAGGUUCCAUAUACACCAAAAAAACCAAUAUUUGCAAAAUACCUUAUGACUAAUUUUGACACUGUUGAUAUCUUUAUAAUACAUAAUUACCCAUGUUCCAACUAUCUGAACCAUUCUCUCUCUUGUGUUUUCUUGUUAUCUUCUGCCCAGAACAAUCUUCUUACUUCUAUCUCUCUUGUUUAUUCUUAAAAUCACCAAACACAAUUUUUUUCCUAUUAAUCUACAAAUAUUUUUUUCCUUAUCUUUUCUGUUUCCAACGAUGUGAAUCAGCAACGGGUACGUAUAUUUCAAUUAAUAUAGAGUAUGAAUCUAAUGAGUACUAUCCUCACAUGAGUUUUGUAUCUGUCAUCUCUAUUCUUUUACUCAAUCUGACCGUGAUAUGAAUGUUUAAGAAAUUUUGUUUAAUAUACAUGUGAGAUCUCUUCGAUUCAUUCGCCGGUAAAAGCUCAUGGCUGUAUUGAUGGUUUGUAUAAUCAAGAAAUAUAGAAAUUUCCCGACAUUGAUGAAACUUGAAUCUAACAUUUAAGUUAUUGUGCUUGUAGUCGAUAUUUAUUAAGUUAACGGAUAAUUGUUUGAUUACAUGCUACAAAUCAAAUAUUGUGAGUAUAUGCAUGUUUGGUUAGUUGUUACUAAACCGGUGGAUGCCGAUUUUUUCACAAAAUAUAUUAUCAUUAGCUGAUAAAUGUUUACUUAGGUGUUAUAAAACAUGUUAACAACCUUUUAAAACGGUUUGUAAUUUUUUUUAAAAAAAUAGCUUGUCUUAGGCUGAUAAAUAGUUUGUUAGAUGCUAUAAAAUAAGUUAGUAGGUUAAAACAAGUCACAUAAUAGCUGACGUGGAAACUUUGUAUUCAUAUUAUAUAUAACAUAUUAUGAUUAGCUGAUACAUGUUUGGUUAACUCUUACAAAAUAUGUUAUCAUUUUUUUACAUUGUUUGGUAAAAUGCUUAAAGUAGCAAUUGUUAACUAAUAUAUAUAUUAUGUUAGAAGUUAUAAAUUAUGUUAACAUGUUAACUUAAUCAUUAUCUAUUCCACUAAUAUUUUUCUAGCGGUUAACAAUUAUAGUAGUAUAUAUAAUCAAAAUUUAGGGCAAGAAAAAGAAACAUAUAAAAAAUUAGGGCAGGGGUAAAACGGAAAAAUAUGACAAAAAUAUCUACAGUGGACAUGAAAGCUUCGUUGAAGAAUGAGAAGUGUCAUGUUUGCUACUGGCAUUUUCAAGGAAAAUGUUGAUGUUGAAGAGAAAUUAUCUGAUCUUUUGUUUGCUUUGCUUUAGGAUAGUUUUUUAAUUUCUUGGUGAUUUGGGUAUAUUCAGCCAAUAGUCUCUUAUAUAAAAUAUAUGAAAUUUAUUGUUUGUUUAUGUUUGCAUUUACAUCUAUGCUUGUAGUUACUAUAUAUACUGAUUUUUUUCAAAUAAUCCGACAACUAUUUUUUUUUGAGCAACUAUAAUCCGACAACUAAUUCAAGCAUUUCGAACACUAAUUGCGUAUUUUGAUUUUUUGAGCAGAUAAAUAAGUUCAAGGAGGCGUUGGAGAAACAUGGGAGGGAACAAUGUAGCAUUGGAAAGACAAAGGGACUUGAAGAGAAAGAACUAGUCGCCAUGGCCACAAAUAAAGACCUGUCUUUGGAUUAUAAACCCAAAAAUAAUGAAGUAAACCGCGAGAUAAAAGAAAAUGACACAAUUAUCGAAAGAUCUCCAAUCUCAAAAGAACAAGAUGAAAAACGUUCUCUAGUAAUUAGCCGUGCAGGAAUUGUCUAGCGUCUGUUUUAUUUGGGUACAGUUGCUGUUUUAUUUGUCUGGGAGUUUCAACCUUUAGAGUAUCCGUCCAUUUGGAGGCAUAAUAUUGUGCUAUAUAUAUAUAGACCAGUGAUCAACCCGCCCUACGGGCUGGGGUAUGCAAAUAAAUGAAAAAAUAAUAUAUUUUAAAUAUUUAAUUUAUUCUUAACUAAAAAUAAAAUUAAUUUUGAUAUAUACUUUUUUUCAUCACUUAUUCCUUUGAAAAAUAUAUAUUUGAACUGAUACUGUUCUAUAUACAAUAGAACCUCUAUAAAUUAAUAAUGUUGGGACUUUAAAAUUUUAUUAAUUUAUAGAGAUAUUAAUUUACAAAAUUUUUCUUUUUUAGUUUUUUUUUUCUAUUUUUAAAUAUUUUUAUUAAUAAAAUAAGAAAAUAUUUGAUUUUGCCGUAUAUAAAUUAUUUAAAUUUUAGAAAAUUUAUUUUCAUAUUAUUUUAUUAUCUUAUCUGGUGUAUAGUGUUAUGUUUCAUAGAAUUGUUAUGUGGUUUUCGAUAUAAUUUUACUAAAUAUUAUUAAAAUAUAUUUAAAUAUAUUAAAAUAAUAAGAAAAAUAAAAGUAUUUUCAUUGUGAAUAUAAAACCAACACUAAUGUUUAGUUUGUAUUUAUAUAAAAUAUAUAUAGAGAUACACUAUUAAUUUAUAAUUUUAAUGGGACUAUACAUUUACAUGGGAGUUUUAAAAAUAUUAUUAUCUUAUUAUUUUAUCGAUUUGUGUCAUAUUUUACACCGGCCCAAGUUGGGACUGACGAAAUUUAUUAAUUUAUAGAGAUUAUUAAUUUAUCGAGUAUUAAUUUAUAGAGGUUUUGCUAUAUAUGUUUAUUCGGAAAAAAAAUCAGGUGAGUAAACUUUUGUUUAUUCAGUUUUAUUUGUUUUUUUGGUCUAUUUCUGUGUAUUCAGUUUAGUUGGUUGAUAUGUUCUAACCAAUUGGUCCUUGCUUGCCUACCGAACCACAAACCGAUUAAUGAAAACAGAGAACCGAUAAUUUUGGUUUGGUCGGUUUCGUUUGCUUAAGUUUGUACCACAUGUCCAUCGCUAAAACCAAGCUUCGUUGAAGAAUGAGAAGUGUCAUGUUUGCUACUGGCAUUUUCAAGGAAAAUGUUGAUGUUGAAGAGAAAUUAUCUGAUCUUUUGUUUGCAUAAAUCUUUAAAUUUAGUUGCAGGUGAAGUAAACAUACAUGUCUAAAUUAAUCCCAUUAGCCACAAGUAUAGGUUCUCCUCAGGUUCGUACAAUCUCUCAAAGCACCUAAUUUGAUUGAAUUAGUAUUUUAUUUUCUUGAAGAAAAAUUGGUGCCCGUUAUGCUAAUGGUCCAAGGUAAUUUAUUAAAGGUUGAGUUAUUAGGGAUUAUUUGAUCUUGGGACGACAAUGAAUUCCACAAAUCCAUAUGUUGUAUGCUUCCAGCUACUGAGAUUCACUCAAUUUAAUGAAAACAUUAAUUUUUUCUUGAAAAUUUUGACCUUUUAGCUUGCCCAUUUAAUACUCGUUUAAAGCAUGUUUUCGGAAUGAGUUAACGUACAUUGGAAUUAUAAAAUGUCAACUGAUGUAGAUUCUAUGCAUUGUGCUCUUAUCGUAAUCUGAUUUUCCUUACUUGUGUACUCUUCCAAAUUUGCCUUCACACACAUAUUUUUGUGUUCAUGUUAACAGGUCUAGGAAGCAAUGAUGAUUAUGGCUUCGUCUUAUCUCUGAUUAUACUUACGAUAGUUAUUCUGCCUUUUUUGACAUGUCCUCUGUAAAUACACCUUUGAUCUGACCUCUGUUGCUUGGAAAAUACCAAAAUUCCACAUGCAAAAACCCAUCUCGAAACUAUUUUCUUCCUUCUCUUAUUUACUCUGUUUCGUUCUCUCCACUGCUCUGACCUGUGUCUAAUUAAAAAACACUGCUCUUGUUUUAGAAAUUUCGGUUUGUAAACCUAUUUCUUUCUCCCAAAUCUCGUUUUUGAGAAGGAUGGUGGAGAGAGCAGAAGAGAAAUUUCACAAAACCUCUUCUCUCUCUGCUAUUCAACUUUUUUUCUCUUUUCAAGUUUUUUUUAUAUGACAUGUUUCUUGUGGAACACGGCAAUUAUUUUUCUGUGUGAAUUCAUGGCGACAGAUACGUUCAUCAAGUUGAAUCCAAUCUUCAUUAAUCCCAACCGCUUCAACCUCCGAGAAUGUUCCAACCUAAGCCCUAAAAGCAUCUCUUCUCUGAGCUGCAUUAGCCCAAGACUGAUAUCUUGCAGCCAUGUCAACCCUAGAACAUUGAUCUACGGCGAGAAUGAUAACAUAUUGUUUCCCAAGAAAAAGAUUCCUUCCAUGAUCCGUUG
This 5395-nucleotide long non-coding RNA is filed under the name Brassica napus (rape). RNAcentral describes it as "long non-coding RNA (BNAP_LNC016490)". The record is from RNAcentral. Lineage: Eukaryota; Viridiplantae; Streptophyta; Magnoliopsida; Brassicales; Brassicaceae.